Molecule: non-coding RNA, 287 nt
Organism: Drosophila virilis
Lineage: Eukaryota; Metazoa; Arthropoda; Insecta; Diptera; Drosophilidae
Source: RefSeq, a predicted model, not a curated record
ACUGCAGCAGUAGCUGUUGCGACAGGUUCAACGUAACAAUGAAAAGUGCAGAAGCCACGUGCAUAAUGGCAAUUGGGGUUGGUUGCAUGGGGGGGCGAUCCGCUUACCUAUAAGAAGCAUCCUAAGAACGUCAAGACUUCGAGAUUAUAUGCGAAUGUGUGUGCUGCCUGCCUUCCAUUUCGAAGUCUGUAGCACUGAGGCAUGAUAUGGAAAAUAUGGACUAUUAUUAACUAUCGAAAAUGUACCGUACCUUUAAUUAGAACUAAUAUUCUAUAUUCUGGCGACAA